RNAcentral lists this ribosomal RNA (292 nucleotides) under uncultured Bacillus sp. RNAcentral describes it as "partial 16S ribosomal RNA". It matches the Rfam family "Bacterial small subunit ribosomal RNA", at positions 505 to 796 of the family's 1533-position model. Lineage: Bacteria; Bacillati; Bacillota; Bacilli; Caryophanales; Bacillaceae. The record is from RNAcentral.
GUGUCAGCAGCCGCGGUAAUACGUAGGUGGCAAGCGUUAUCCGGAAUUAUUGGGCGUAAAGCGCGCGCAGGUGGUUUCUUAAGUCUGAUGUGAAAGCCCACGGCUCAACCGUGGAGGGUCAUUGGAAACUGGGAGGCUUGAGUGCAGAAGAGGAAAGUGGAUUUCCAUGUGUAGCGGUGAAAUGCGUAGAGAUAUGGAGGAACACCAGUGGCGAAGGCGACUUUCUGGUCUGUAACUGACACUGAGGCGCGAAAGCGUGGGGAGCAAACAGGAUUAGAAACCCUUGUAGUCC